Molecule: ribosomal RNA, 611 nt
Filed under: uncultured bacterium
Lineage: Bacteria
Description: bacterial SSU rRNA
Rfam family: Bacterial small subunit ribosomal RNA
Source: RNAcentral
CCUACGGGAGGCAGCAGUAAGGAAUAUUGGUCAAUGGGCGAGAGCCUGAACCAGCCAUGCCGCGUGCAGGAAGACAGCCCUCUGGGUCGUAAACUGCUUUUAUUCGGGAAUAAACCUACUUACGUGUAAGUAGCUGAAUGUACCGAAGGAAUAAGGAUCGGCUAACUCCGUGCCAGCAGCCGCGGUAAUACGGAGGAUCCAAGCGUUAUCCGGAUUUAUUGGGUUUAAAGGGUGCGUAGGCGGCCUGUUAAGUCAGGGGUGAAAGACGGUAGCUCAACUAUCGCAGUGCCCUUGAUACUGAUGGGCUUGAAUGAACUAGAGGUAGGCGGAAUGUGACAAGUAGCGGUGAAAUGCAUAGAUAUGUCACAGAACACCGAUUGCGAAGGCAGCUUACUAUGGUUUUAUUGACGCUGAGGCACGAAAGCGUGGGGAUCAAACAGGAUUAGAUACCCUGGUAGUCCACGCCCUAAACGAUGAACACUCGCUGUUGGCGAUACACAGUCAGCGGCUAAGCGAAAGCGUUAAGUGUUCCACCUGGGGAGUACGCCCGCAAGGGUGAAACUCAAAGGAAUUGACGGCUGNGAGNGCGACGACGACGACGAGGGAGGAGG